GGCCAUAUCAUGUUGAUACACCGAUUUCCGUACGAUCACCAAAGUUAAGCAACGUUGAGUCUGGUCAGUACCUAGAUGGGUGACCGCCUGGGAAUAUCAGGUGCUGUAA
Acanthosepion pharaonis is the source of this 109-nucleotide non-coding RNA. The record is from the annotation of a GenBank genome assembly. NCBI's taxonomy places the organism in Eukaryota, Metazoa, Mollusca, Cephalopoda, Sepiida, Sepiidae.